GCGGACAGAUGGGAGCUUGCUCCCUGAUGUUAGCGGCGGACGGGUGAGUAACACGUGGGUAACCUGCCUGUAAGACUGGGAUAACUCCGGGAAACCGGGGCUAAUACCGGAUGGUUGUUUGAACCGCAUGGUUCAAACAUAAAAGGUGGCUUCGGCUACCACUUACAGAUGGACCCGCGGCGCAUUAGCUAGUUGGUGAGGUAAUGGCUCACCAAGGCAACGAUGCGUAGCCGACCUGAGAGGGUGAUCGGCCACACUGGGACUGAGACACGGCCCAGACUCCUACGGGAGGCAGCAGUAGGGAAUCUUCCGCAAUGGACGAAAGUCUGACGGAGCAACGCCGCGUGAGUGAUGAAGGUUUUCGGAUCGUAAAGCUCUGUUGUUAGGGAAGAACAAGUACCGUUCGAAUAGGGCGGUACCUUGACGGUACCUAACCAGAAAGCCACGGCUAACUACGUGCCAGCAGCCGCGGUAAUACGUAGGUGGCAAGCGUUGUCCGGAAUUAUUGGGCGUAAAGGGCUCGCAGGCGGUUUCUUAAGUCUGAUGUGAAAGCCCCCGGCUCAACCGGGGAGGGUCAUUGGAAACUGGGGAACUUGAGUGCAGAAGAGGAGAGUGGAAUUCCACGUGUAGCGGUGAAAUGCGUAGAGAUGUGGAGGAACACCAGUGGCGAAGGCGACUCUCUGGUCUGUAACUGACGCUGAGGAGCGAAAGCGUGGGGAGCGAACAGGAUUAGUACCCCCUGGGUAA
RNAcentral lists this ribosomal RNA (747 nucleotides) under Bacillus subtilis. RNAcentral describes it as "bacterial SSU rRNA". It matches the Rfam family "Bacterial small subunit ribosomal RNA", at positions 66 to 793 of the family's 1533-position model. Lineage: Bacteria; Bacillati; Bacillota; Bacilli; Caryophanales; Bacillaceae. The record is from RNAcentral.